This 52-nucleotide transfer RNA is filed under the name Enkleia siamensis. RNAcentral's name for it is "partial tRNA-Phe". It matches the Rfam family "tRNA", at positions 7 to 53 of the family's 71-position model. Rfam says of the family: Transfer RNA (tRNA) molecules are approximately 80 nucleotides in length. Lineage: Eukaryota; Viridiplantae; Streptophyta; Magnoliopsida; Malvales; Thymelaeaceae. The record is from RNAcentral.
CGGGAUAGCUCAGCUGGUAGAGCAGAGGACUGAAAAUCCUCGGGUCCCAGUU